Molecule: ribosomal RNA, 881 nt
Filed under: uncultured eukaryote
Lineage: Eukaryota
Description: SSU rRNA
Rfam family: Eukaryotic small subunit ribosomal RNA
Source: RNAcentral
UGCCAGCAGCCGCGGUAAUUCCAGCUCCAAUAGCGUAUAUUAAAGUUGUUGCGGUAAAAAAGCUCGUAGUUGGAUUUCUGUUGAGGACGACCGGUCCGUACCAUGUACGCGCAUCUGGUUCGGCCUCGGCAUCCUCUCGAUAGACGUUUCUGCGCUUGAUUGCGUGGAGCGGAUUUCGGGACUUUUACUUUGAGGAAAUUAGAGUGUUCACGGCAGGCUAUCGCCAGAAUACAUUAGCAUGGAAUAAUACUAUAGGAUCUCGGUUCUAUUUUGUUGGUUUCUAGACCCGGGGUAAUGAUUAAUAGGGACAAUUGGGGGCAUUUGUAUCAACACGUCAGAGGUGGAAUUCUUGGAUUGUGUUGCGACAAACUACUGCGAAAGCAUUUGCCAAGAAUGUUUUCAUUGAUCAAGAACGAAAGUAAGGGGAUCGAAGACGAUUAGAUACCGUCGUAGUCUUUACCAUAAACUAUGCCGACUAGAGAUGGGGCAUCGUUCACUUACGACUUGCUCCGCAUCUUAUGAGAUAUCAAAGUCUUUGGGUUCCGGGGGGAGUAUGGUCGCAAGUCUGAAACUUAAAGGAAUUGACGGAAGGGCACCACCAGGAGUGGAGCCUGCGGCUUAAUUUGACUCAACACGGGGAAACUCACCAGGUCCAGACAUAAUAAGGAUUGACAGAUUGAUAGCUCUUUCUUGAUUUUAUGGGUGGUGGUGCAUGGCCGUUCUUAGUUCGUGGAGUGAUUUGUCUGCUUAAUUGCGUUAACGAACGAGACCUUAACCUGCUAAAUAGGAGCGCAUAUCUUCGGAUAAGCGCCUUUCUUCUUAGAGGGACUACAUGCGUUUCAGUAUGCGGAAGUUUGAGGCUAAAACAGGUCUGUGAUGCC